GCCUAUGACCAUAUCAUCCUGAAUGCGCCCGAUCUCGUCUGAUCUCGGAAGCUAAACAUGGUCGAGCCUGAUUAGUACUUGGAUGGGAGACCGCCUGGGAAUACCAGGUGUUGUAGGCU
Molecule: ribosomal RNA, 119 nt
Filed under: Petromyzon marinus (sea lamprey)
Lineage: Eukaryota; Metazoa; Chordata; Hyperoartia; Petromyzontiformes; Petromyzontidae
Source: RNAcentral